Molecule: non-coding RNA, 221 nt
Filed under: Candidatus Stoquefichus
Lineage: Bacteria; Bacillati; Bacillota; Erysipelotrichia; Erysipelotrichales; Erysipelotrichaceae
Description: T-box sequence
Rfam family: T-box leader
About the family: Uncharged tRNA acts as the effector for transcription antitermination of genes in the T-box leader family. T-boxes are found upstream of many aminoacyl-tRNA synthetase genes and some amino acid biosynthetic genes usually in Gram-positive bacteria.
Source: RNAcentral
ACAAAAGCUAAGAUGUGACAGAGUAAAAAUUCUUGCGACAUAAGAGAUAUGAUGGUUGGUGCAAAUCAUACGCUGGGGAAUUUUGAAUACACCACGGAGUUGUUAUCUUGAUAAGGGAUAACCGGGGUCAUAACGUUAUUUAUGAAAGUUUCUAACUUAUGAAGGUUAUAACUGUGAAGUUAUAAUAAACUGAGGUGGUACCGCGUCAACUCGCCCUCUUA